Musa acuminata AAA Group (dessert banana) is the source of this 428-nucleotide long non-coding RNA. RefSeq lists it as uncharacterized. The transcript is spliced from 2 exons. The record is from RefSeq and is a predicted model, not a curated record. Lineage: Eukaryota; Viridiplantae; Streptophyta; Magnoliopsida; Zingiberales; Musaceae.
AAGAAAGAGUCUGAAGUCGGCUUCGAUCCUCUCCGCCGACGGGCUUCCGUUGCAGCCGUAUUCCUCGAUCAGAAGGCAGAGGCAAAAAGACGAGUCGAGAUAUCGUUUCAGUCGCCACUCCACCCGUUGGCGGUUCGAUUGUUGCUCGACCACACUCUCUUCUUCCCUUCUUCAUCUCUCUCUCGAUCUGACUCUUAUUGAUUUCCUAUAGGAAGUGCAAGGGAUGUUUGUAUCUAUUUUGCAUUAUUCCUCACUUUGAACCGACUAAAACCGUGGGGACGCUGUAUUUUCUGAUGCACUUCCUAAUCUUCCUUAUGUUUAUUUUCUAUGUUCUCCGUCUGAGUCGGUCAAAUCUGUUGUUCUGCAUCGUCAGAUAUCAAACUUUUGCCGAUUUCUUGUCUUAAUUAACCGAUCAAUGAUUUCCUAUA